GCCAGGUGUGGUGGUGUAUACCUGUAAUCCCAGCAGCUUGGUAGGCUGAGGCAGGAGGAUCACAGGUUCAAAGCCAGCUUCAGCAGAAGCAAGGCAGUAAGCAACUCAGUGAGACCCUGUCUUUA
RNAcentral lists this small RNA (125 nucleotides) under Marmota monax (woodchuck). The record is from RNAcentral. Lineage: Eukaryota; Metazoa; Chordata; Mammalia; Rodentia; Sciuridae.